AGUGAACGCUGGCGGUAGGCCUAACACAUGCAAGUCGAACGGCAGCACAGUAAGAGCUUGCCCUUACGGGUGGCGAGUGGCGGACGGGUGAGGAAUACAUCGGAAUCUACUUUUUCGUGGGGGAUAACGUAGGGAAACUUACUCUAAUACCGCAUACGACCUACGGGUGAAAGCAGGGGAUCUUCGGACCUUGCGCGAUUGAAUGAGCCGAUGUCGGAUUAGCUAGUUGGCGGGGUAAAGGCCCACCAAGGCGACGAUCCGUAGCUGGUCUGAGAGGAUGAUCAGCCACACUGGAACUGAGACACGGUCCAGGCUCCUACGGGAGGCAGCAGUGGGGAAUAUUGGACAAUGGGCGCAAGCAUGAUCCAGCCAUACCGCGUGGGUGAAGAAGGCCUUCGGGUUGUAAAGCCCUUUUGUUGGGAAAGAAAAGCAGCAGGUUAAUACCACGCUGUUCUGACGGUACCCAAAGAAUAAGCACCGGCUAACUUCGUG
RNAcentral lists this ribosomal RNA (492 nucleotides) under uncultured bacterium. RNAcentral's name for it is "partial 16S ribosomal RNA". It matches the Rfam family "Bacterial small subunit ribosomal RNA", at positions 29 to 507 of the family's 1533-position model. The record is from RNAcentral.